GCGAAACCUCCGCAAUGCACGCAAGUGCGACGGGGGGACCCCAAGUGCCACUCUUAACGGGGUGGCUUUUCAGGAGUGUAAAAAGCUCCUGGAAUAAGGGCUGGGCAAGACCGGUGCCAGCCGCCGCGGUAACACCGGCAGCUCGAGUGGUAGCCGCGUUUAUUGGGCCUAAAGCGUCCGUAGCCGGUCCGAUAAGUCUCUGGUGAAAGCCCACAGCUCAACUGUGGGAAUCGCUGGAGAUACUAUCGGACUUGAGGCCGGGAGAGGCUGGAGGUACUCCCAGGGUAGGGGUGAAAUCCUAUAAUCCUGGGAGGACCACCUGUGGCGAAGGCGUCCAGCUGGAACGGACCUGACGGUGAGG
This 361-nucleotide ribosomal RNA is filed under the name uncultured archaeon. Its description in RNAcentral is "bacterial SSU rRNA". It matches the Rfam family "Archaeal small subunit ribosomal RNA", at positions 341 to 702 of the family's 1478-position model. The record is from RNAcentral.